RNAcentral lists this ribosomal RNA (449 nucleotides) under Diaporthe sp. HBR7. Its description in RNAcentral is "eukaryotic LSU rRNA". The stretch from base 99 to 252 matches the Rfam family "5.8S ribosomal RNA". Lineage: Eukaryota; Fungi; Ascomycota; Sordariomycetes; Diaporthales; Diaporthaceae. The record is from RNAcentral.
CCUCACCGAGGCCCCCUGGAGACAGGGAGCAGCCCGCCGGCGGCCAAACAAACUCUUGUUUCUUAGUGAAUCUCUGAGUAAAAAACAUAAUGAAUCAAAACUUUCAACAACGGAUCUCUUGGUUCUGGCAUCGAUGAAGAACGCAGCGAAAUGCGAUAAGUAAUGUGAAUUGCAGAAUUCAGUGAAUCAUCGAAUCUUUGAACGCACAUUGCGCCCUCUGGUAUUCCGGAGGGCAUGCCUGUUCGAGCGUCAUUUCAACCCUCAAGCCUAGCUUGGUGUUGGGGCACCGCCUUUGCAAAAGGGCGGGCCCUGAAAUCUAGUGGCGAGCUCGCCAGGACCCCGAGCGUAGUAGUUAUAUCUCGUUCUGGAAGGCCCUGGCGGUGCCCUGCCGUUAAACCCCCAACUUCUGAAAUUUUGACCUCGGAUCAGGUAGGAAUACCCGCUGAACU